Molecule: ribosomal RNA, 497 nt
Filed under: uncultured bacterium
Lineage: Bacteria
Description: partial 16S ribosomal RNA
Rfam family: Bacterial small subunit ribosomal RNA
Source: RNAcentral
GAUGAACGCUGGCGGCGUGCCGAAUACAUGCAAGUCGAGCGAACAGACGAGGAGCUUGCUCCUCUGACGUUAGCGGCGGACGGGUGAGUAACACGUGGAUAACCUACCUAUAAGACUGGGAUAACUUCGGGAAACCGGAGCUAAUACCGGAUAAUAUAUUGAACCGCAUGGUUCAAUAGUGAAAGACGGUUUUGCUGUCACUUAUAGAUGGAUCCGCGCCGCAUUAGCUAGUUGGUAAGGUAACGGCUUACCAAGGCGACGAUGCGUAGCCGACCUGAGAGGGUGAUCGGCCACACUGGAACUGAGACACGGUCCAGACUCCUACGGGAGGCAGCAGUAGGGAAUCUUCCGCAAUGGGCGAAAGCCUGACGGAGCAACGCCGCGUGAGUGAUGAAGGUCUUCGGAUCGUAAAACUCUGUUAUUAGGGAAGAACAAAUGUGUAAGUAACUAUGCACGUCUUGACGGUACCUAAUCAGAAAGCCACGGCUAACUACGUG